UCCAGGGCCAAGGGCUCAUGUUUAAUGGAGCUCGAAGGUGCGCCCUUUCCCGCGGGGGGUACUCUUGCCCGUGUAGCAUAUGUGUAUUGAGCUCAUUUUCAAGGCAGGGAUCUGGGCUGCCAUCACACUGCAUGUACCUAUCCCACUUUAAUUCGAUGAGUUUGAUUAGUAAGAUUCAGCUGUUUGAUGUGCUAGCCUUGCAGCCUUACGAAUUCAAGAACCAAGGGUGGUACAGUACGUAYAUGUAGCAAAAAAAGCUACACAGAACAGAGAAAAGUCAGAACAGACGUGGAGUUGUUGGAGUGAGGAUCGAACUAUUGACCUCUAGCUCUGCAUGAAGGCUGUGCACUAACUGAGCUACGCCUGCUCCUGAGUAGUAAAAAUUUUUGCCUUCAGUUGUUGGGCAUUGUUUUCAAGAGCUUCCUUUACUUCAUCUAACUCAGCCUGAUGUCUGGCCUUCUCCUGUGGAGGGGUGUCAUA
Actinia tenebrosa (Australian red waratah sea anemone) is the source of this 480-nucleotide long non-coding RNA. Lineage: Eukaryota; Metazoa; Cnidaria; Anthozoa; Actiniaria; Actiniidae. The record is from RefSeq and is a predicted model, not a curated record.